This 77-nucleotide transfer RNA is filed under the name compost metagenome. RNAcentral describes it as "tRNA-Gln". It matches the Rfam family "tRNA". Rfam says of the family: Transfer RNA (tRNA) molecules are approximately 80 nucleotides in length. Their secondary structure includes four short double-helical elements and three loops (D, anti-codon, and T loops). The record is from RNAcentral.
AGAGGAUUGGCGAAGUGGCCUAACGCACUGGGUUUUGAUCCCAGCAUUCCUUGGUUCGAAUCCAAGAUCCUCUUCCA